GAUGAAUAACGCAGCGAAAUGCGAUAAGUAAUGUGAAUUGCAGAAUUCAGUGAAUCAUCGAAUCUUUGAACGCAUCUUGCGCUCCUUGGUAUUCUGAGGAGCAUGCCUGUUUGAGUGUCAUUAAAUUCUCAACUACACUGACUUUGAAUUGGUGUGGCUUGGAUUUGGGGGGAAAAUUGUUGUGGGCUUUUUGUAUAGUCUGCUCCCCUGAAAUUGAUUAGCGGUACCUUUGUGGAACUGUCUACAGGUGUGAUAAUUAUCUACAUCUUAGACAUCUGCUGGAAUGCUGCUUUCUAAACCUUACUUGUAUUGACAAUCUUGACCUCAAAUCAGGUAGGACUACCCGCUGAACUUAAGCAUAUCAAUAAGCGGAGGA
This 376-nucleotide unclassified non-coding RNA is filed under the name soil metagenome. Its description in RNAcentral is "partial contains 5.8S ribosomal RNA, internal transcribed spacer 2, and large subunit ribosomal RNA". The stretch from base 1 to 120 matches the Rfam family "5.8S ribosomal RNA", at positions 35 to 154 of the family's 154-position model. The record is from RNAcentral.